RNAcentral lists this ribosomal RNA (253 nucleotides) under uncultured bacterium. Its description in RNAcentral is "partial 16S ribosomal RNA". It matches the Rfam family "Bacterial small subunit ribosomal RNA", at positions 524 to 777 of the family's 1533-position model. The record is from RNAcentral.
UACGGAGGGUGCGAGCGUUGUCCGGAAUCACUGGGCGUAAAGGGCGCGUAGGCGGCCUGAUAAGUAGGGGGUGAAAUCCUGCGGCUUAACCGCAGGGCUGCCUUCUAAACUGUCAGGCUUGAGCACAGUAGAGGCAGGUGGAAUUCCCGGUGUAGCGGUGGAAUGCGUAGAGAUCGGGAAGAACAUCAGUGGCGAAGGCGGCCUGCUGGGCUGUUGCUGACGCUGAGGCGCGACAGCGUGGGGAGCAACAGGA